CACGUAGGGUGCGAGCGUUGUCCGGAAUUAUUGGGCGUAAAGAGCUCGUAGGCGGUGUGUCGCGUCGGCCGUGAAAACCUGCAGCUUAACUGUGGGCUUGCGGUCGAUACGGGCAUCACUGGAGUUCGGCAGGGGAGACUGGAAUUCCUGGUGUAGCGGUGAAAUGCGUAGAUAUCUGGAGGAACACCGGUGGCGAAGGCGGCAUCCUGGACCAACACUGACGCUGAUGAGCGAAAGCCAGGGGAGCAAACGGG
RNAcentral lists this ribosomal RNA (254 nucleotides) under uncultured bacterium. Its description in RNAcentral is "partial 16S ribosomal RNA". It matches the Rfam family "Bacterial small subunit ribosomal RNA", at positions 524 to 776 of the family's 1533-position model. The record is from RNAcentral.